UAGUAAGGUCAGCUAACUAAGCUUUUGGGCCCAUACCCCACACAUGAGUGUUAAAAUCACUUCCUCACU
This 69-nucleotide transfer RNA is filed under the name Paraulopus oblongus. RNAcentral describes it as "tRNA-Met". Lineage: Eukaryota; Metazoa; Chordata; Actinopteri; Aulopiformes; Paraulopidae. The record is from RNAcentral.